Molecule: ribosomal RNA, 2270 nt
Filed under: human gut metagenome
Description: bacterial LSU rRNA
Rfam family: Bacterial large subunit ribosomal RNA
Source: RNAcentral
GAAAGCAAAGAAGGGCAUAUGGAGGAUGCCUAGGCUCUCGAAGGCGAAGAAGGACGUGAUAAGCUGCGAAAAGCUCCGGGGAGUGGCAAAUACACCGAGAUCCGGAGAUGUCCGAAUGGGGCAACCCGUCGAGGCUCGACCUCGACACACGCGAACGCGUGGGCGAACGUGGGGAACUGAAACAUCUAAGUACCCAUAGGAAGAGAAAAUAACAAUGAUUCCGCAAGUAGUGGCGAGCGAACGCGGAAGAGCCCAAACCGCAGGCGUAGCAAUGCGCCGUGCGGGGUUAUAGGACCGGCGCCACGAAGAACUGAAAGCUAGCCGAACCGACUGGAAAGUCGGGCCGCAGCGGGUGACAGCCCCGUAGGCGAAAGCGUUCAGCGAUUCCAGCCGGCACCUGAGUAACCCGGAGCACGAGGAAUUCCGGGCGAAUUGGCGGGGACCAUCCCGUAAGGCUAAAUACUAACGAGAGACCGAUAGCGAACCAGUACCGUGAGGGAAAGGUGAAAAGAACCUCGAACAGAGGAGUGCAACAGACCCUGAAACCAUAUGCCUACAAGCGGUCGGAGCGGCUCAGUGCCGUAACGGCGUGCCUUUUGCAUAAUGAACCUACGAGUCACCGUCGUUGGCAAGGUUAAGGACAAUGAUGUCCGGAGCCGAAGCGAAAGCGAGUCCGAACAGGGCGCCGGAGUCAGCGGAGGUGGACGCGAAACCAAGUGAUCUACCCUUGGGCAGGUUGAAGGACAGGUAAAACUGUCUGGAGGACCGAACCGGUAAGCGUUGAAAAGCUUUCGGAUGACCUGAGGGUAGGAGUGAAAGGCCAAUCAAACUUGGAGAUAGCUCGUACUCCCCGAAAUGUAUUUAGGUGCAGCCUCGGAGAGAAUCUGACGGAGGUAGAGCGACUGAUAGGAUGCGAGGGCUUCACCGCCUAUCAAGUCCUGACAAACUCCGAAUGCCGUCAGACAUAUCCGGGAGUAAGGGCGCGGGUGCUAAGGUCCGCGUCCGAGAGAGGAACAACUCAGACCAUCGGCUAAGGUCCCGAAAUCCGGGCUAAGUUGAAGACAAUAACGAGGUGGGAUUGCAUAGACAGCUAGGAUGUUGGCUUGGAAGCAGCCAUUCAUUUAAAGAGUGCGUAACAGCUCACUAGUCGAGUGAUCCCGCGUGGAUAAUAAUCGGGCAUAAGUCCGGUACCGAAGCCAUGGAAUCACGCUAAGGGCGUGAUUGGUAGGGGAGCAUUCCGUACGGCGGCGAAGGUCGGUGGCGAUGCCGGCUGGAGCGUACGGAAAAGCAAAUGUAGGUAUAAGUAACGAUAAUGGAGGCGAGAAACCUCCACGCCGAAAGACCAAGGUUUCCUGAUCAACGCUAAUCGGAUCAGGGUAAGUCGGGACCUAAGGGGCAGCCGCGAGGCGGACCCGAUGGAAGAAACGGUAAAGAUUCCGUUACUGUCGCCGGGAGUGAAGCGGGGACGGAGGAGUGACACCGCCGCGGACUGACGGAAUAGUCCGUUGAAGAGUGUAGGUAUUCGGAGGCCAGGCAAAUCCGGUCUCCGAGCUGAACUUGACAGUACUGCGAGCCUUCGGGCAAGCAGACAGCGCGGGUAAGCAGACUCCCAAGAAAAUCCGCUAAACAUAUGUCGGCGACACCCGUACCGCAAACGGACACACGUGGUCGGGUAGAACAUACUAAGGCGUCGAGAGAUUCACCGUUAAGGAACUAGGCAAAUUGACCUCGUAACUUCGGGAUAAGGGGUCCCACAGCGAUGUGGGCGCAGAGAAUAGGUCCAGGCAACUGUUUAACAAAAACACAGGGCUGUGCGAAAUUUAAAGAUGAAGUAUACAGCCUGACACCUGCCCGGUGCCGGAAGGUUAAGAGGAGAAGUCAUCGCAAGAGAAGCUUUGAAUUGAAGCCCCGGUAAACGGCGGCCGUAACUAUAACGGUCCUAAGGUAGCGAAAUUCCUUGUCGGGUAAGUUCCGACCUGCACGAAUGGUGUAAUGAUCUGGACUCUGUCUCAACGGUGAGCUCGGUGAAAUUGUAGUAUCGGUGAAGAUGCCGAUUACCCGCAACGGGACGAAAAGACCCCGUGAACCUUUACUGCAGCUUAGCAUUGGGACCUGGGUCGUCCGAUGUGUAGGAUAGUCCGGAGACAGCGAAGCGGGGGCGCCAGCCCUCGCGGAGUCGACGUUGAAAUACGGACCUUUGCGCUAUCUGGUCUCUAACUCGCGGAAAGCGAGGACACUGCUUGGUGGGUAGUUUGACUGGGGUGGUCGCC